This 12007-nucleotide long non-coding RNA is filed under the name Salvia miltiorrhiza (redroot sage). Its description in RNAcentral is "long non-coding RNA (SMIL_LNC006841)". The record is from RNAcentral. Lineage: Eukaryota; Viridiplantae; Streptophyta; Magnoliopsida; Lamiales; Lamiaceae.
AGGUUGGGCUAUAUGAAGGUGAGGUUGGGCUGUAAGAUGGAGAGGUUGGGCUGUAAGAGGGUGAGGUAGGGCUGUAAGAGGGUGAUGUGGGGCUGUAAGACGGAGACGUGGGGCUGUAAGCCGGAGAGGUUGGGCUAUACGCAGGUGAGGUUGGGCUGUAUGCUGGAGAAGUUGGGCUGUAGCUCGGAGAUGUAGGGCUGUAGCUCGGAGAUGUGGGGCUAUAGCUAGGAGAUGUUGGGCUGUAGGAAGGAGACGUUGGUGAAUAAGAUGGGCUUGUGGGAGAAUACGCAGGGCUUGUAGGACUAUAUCCAGGAGAACUAGGACUAUAUGUUGGGGACGUAGGGCUGUAACCAGGGGAAGUAGGACUGUACCCAGGUGAGGUGGGGCUGUAUCCAGGAGAUGACGGGCUGUAUCCAGGAGAUGAAGGGCUGUACCCUGGAGAUGAUGUAGGAGAAAACGCCAUCCCGCCCACAUACGGAGAAAACUGAGCAUCUGAAACAGGAGAUAACCGAAGAUUUGGGCUCAGCAUAUAAUUUGGUGACAUCAUGCCAUCAUGAUAUGGGGUCCCUGAGAUGGGUGAACGGCCAGGAGUCAUGCCAAACUCCAGUCCACCUUCCAUAUAACUGGGCAGAGGGAUCUCAAUAGCUUGUUUAGCAUCUCUUCAUUCAUAUACAAAGCACAAUCACCUGUGCCAAUAGGUGCAAGCUGUCCUAACAUGAUAUUCUCAGUUACACCCCUGAGGUAAUCUGUUUCUGCAUACACAGCAGCAUCAAGAAGAAUGUCCACUGUUUCUUCAAAGGAGCAUCUCAUCAUGGGGCCAGUAUCGUUGCGAUUGAUACCAUGACGGGUGAUGGCCAUCAAGUGACCACGAUAUGUCAUGGUAUCACACAAUAUAGCCAAAUGUCUAUAGUUCACGUAAGACCCAUCAAAUGAUAUGACAACACGCAACUCAUCCAGCAAGGCUUUGCGAACUGCCUCAAUGCCAAGAACUUCAAUAACUUCAAUCAAAUGAUUGCUUGUUGUCCUACUUGCAUCUACAUCUUCAUGGCAAAUUACAGCUAAAAGAUUAACACCUUCGGUGUCAAGCAUCCACUCAUUCUCAGCCUUGAAGCCUUCAUUUUCAUCAAACUUAUUUACCUUGCCAUUCUUUAUGAACACCUUAUUGAUAUCUGGUAUGCCUCGAAGAGCCAUUUCUGUAAGCAUGUUACCCUCAAUCUUUUUGAGGAAGACAUCAUCCUCAGCAGAUUCAUCAUUCAACUCACCUUUAGGGGCUUCAUCAUUCAUAAUACGAAUACGAAGGAUAAGCUUUUCAGCAUUAUCAUCAUUAAAUAUGCACGUUAGAUCACUAUCAAAUUCAGCAUUAAUCUUAUGGGAAAUAUCAGCCAUGUUGAGUUUCUUAUCCACCAUCAUUUCUCUGUUUAACUCUAUGCGAAGCAACCACGGAGAGAUCUUGUCGGGGUCAACAUCAUCAUCUGGCAUCUCAAAGUAGGACGUCACAAAUUCAACAUCUUCCUCAAUAAUAGUGCUCUUAGGAUCUGGAUCGUACCAUACCUCUGUUGCUUGUGUUACACUCCGCAAGGUUGUAUACUCCAGAGCGCACUGGACAUUUUUGGCCUUCUCCUUAGUUUUGCUUACACCAGGCUUCAAGUAUACCGAGAGNAGGUAAUCUGUUUCUGCAUACACAGCAGCAUCAAGAAGAAUGUCCACUGUUCUCAAAGGAGCAUCUCAUCAUGGGGCCAGUAUCGUUGCGAUUGAUACCAUGACGGGUGAUGGCCAUCAAGUGACCACGAUAUGUCAUGGUAUCACACAAUAUAGCCAAAAUGUCUAUAGUUCACGUAAGACCCAUCAAAUGAUAUGACAACACGCAACUCAUCCAGCAAGGCUUUGCGAACUGCCUCAAUGCCAAGAACUUCAAUAACUUCAAUCAAAUGAUUGCUUGUUGUCCUACUUGCAUCUACAUCUUCAUGGCAAAUUACAGCUAAAAGAUUAACACCUUCGGUGUCAAGCAUCCACUCAUUCUCAGCCUUGAAGCCUUCAUUUUCAUCAAACUUAUUUACCUUGCCAUUCUUUAUGAACACCUUAUUGAUAUCUGGUAUGCCUCGAAGAGCCAUUUCUGUAAGCAUGUUACCCUCUAAUCUUUUUGUAGGAAGACAUCAUCCUCAGCAGAUUCAUCAUUCAACUCACCUUUAGGGGCUUCAUCAUUCAUAAUACGAAUACGAAGGAUAAGCUUUUCAGCAUUAUCAUCAUUAAAUAUGCACGUUAGAUCACUAUCAAAUUCAGCAUUAAUCUUAUGGGAAAUAUCAGCCAUGUUGAGUUUCUUAUCCACCAUCAUUUCUCUGUUUAACUCUAUGCGAAGCAACCACGGAGAGAUCUUGUCGGGGUCAACAUCAUCAUCUGGCAUCUCAAAGUAGGACGUCACAAAUUCAACAUCUUCCUCAAUAAUAGUGCUCUUAGGAUCUGGAUCGUACCAUACCUCUGUUGCUUGUGUUACACUCCGCAAGGUUGUAUACUCCAGAGCGCACUGGACAUUUUUGGCCUUCUCCUUAGUUUUGCUUACACCAGGCUUCAAGUAUACCGAGAGAGAGGGUGUUUUAAUUUUCUUAGCAACAUUAAUAAUCUCCCUCAACCUUGGAACACCUAAAGUUAACAAUUCUUGGCACUCACACCAGCAUAGUGAAAUGUAUUGAGGGUCAUCUGUGUAGCAGGUUCACCAAUGGAUUGUGCAGCAACACAUCCUAUCAUUUCACCAGCAGCAACAAGUGACUGAAGAAAACGGGAUUCUAUCUCGCCAACUACCCAGUCAAAAGCCUCACGGGUAAGUCUGUACUCCUUCAGGACCCUUUUACUUGCUAAAGCACUACGAAGCAAUAUAUUGAAGAAAAGAGUAGCAUUCUUCUGUGCUUCCAAACUCAGAUAAUCAUCACCAACAACCACCUUAAGCCUUUCUUGUAACUUAUCAACAGCUUCUACAAUCUCCAUUGGAUGCAUAUCAGACGGUCUCCGAAAAUCAACUCUAAAGGUCUUCUGUGCAUUCAAAACAAGCCUCUUGAUGUUGACAGGGAGGGGCCAAGAAUUGUCACCCGUGGUGGCAAUCUCUGUUCCAAGUUGAUACCUAUCGGCUUCAAGUUUCUGAACCUCUGCAUCAAACACACUGCGGAUUUCACGAAUCGUUUUCAGAUCUUCCACAGCUUCAGGUAACAUAUAAUUAGGAUUCCAGUUUGGGUGAUCAAUCUCAUAUUUGUACAUGUCAUUGAAAUCCGAUCUCUUCAACUUCAGUGAUUCCAAAGGCUGUGAUUCAAUCCAAACUGCAUCCAUACCAUCUUCCCCGUACAGAAACUGAAUCACAUCACCUAACGAAUUCCUAACAGUCCCAUCAUACUUAACCAUGAUAUCUUCCAUAGCCUUCACCAAUCGCCUCUGAAUAUAUCCAGUCUCAGAAGUUUUCACUGCAGUGUCAAUAAGACCUUCCCUACCACCCAUGGCAUGGAAAAAGAACUCUUGAGGAGACAAUCCUCGAAGAUAUGAGUUCUCCACAAAACCACGACUCUCUGGACCAUAAUCAUCUUUGGUGAAGUGUGGAAGUGUGCGAUCCACAAAACCAAAAGGAAUUCGCUUGCCUUCAACAUUCUGCUGACCCACACAUGCAGUCAUCUGAGAAAUAUUGAUGAAACUUCCCUUAGACCCUGCAGUGACCAUAGCUUUGAGGUUGUUACUUUCUGCCAAGCUCUUCUGAGCACUGCUUCCAGCAUCAUCACGAGCCUUAUUCAACACCUGAAGGCACAAAACAUAUAUAAGGGAAUCACCAGGCUGCAGCAAGGAAAUCAAAAUUUUUAACAAACCUGGUUAACUCUGUUCUCGAACGAUUCCAUCAUUGUUCUUCCUGGCUCAGCUUCCAAUUGCUUUUCUUGUGCAGCCCUGAUAAGUUCAUUCACCUCAUUCUUAGCUUUGUUAAUAGUUUCAGAGAUCUUCGUCAUUGUAUCAUGAUCAGCAAUUGUAUCUCCAAUUCCCAUGCUAAAAGCGUUCUGCAAAAGCCAAUAAUUGACCAGCCAUUGUGUAUGUCCCAAAAAUUUCCGAGCUGCAUCUGGACCGACUUCUUCCCUGAGACCAGUAUACAUUAUAUUAAACACAUAAAUAUGAAUAAAGAAUCUUUCGGGCUUUCAGUUCAUUAUUAUAAUAUUUAUUACUCCUUGUUUCAUGUGCCAUAUCAUAUGUUUUGAUGUCACAAAUGCUAUAAUAUUCACACAGAAGAGCUACUAGAGUGGAGGAAGACUGAUAUAUGCAAAAGCUAAAUUGUUAAAGAGUACAGAAAUUUUCAAUAAGAUACUCAUGUAGUUUUAAACUUCUGAAGAAAAUUAAUCUUCUCUUCUACAAAUUCCGAUGGAGUAAGCAAAGGAACACUUUCUUGAAAUGGCAUUAGUUUUAUUGAUAUCUAUAAUGAGUGCAAGCAUGGAGAUUGAUAAAGUGUUUUGUCUGCAAAGAAACAGUACCCAUUUUUUUGUGCCAAAAGGAGAAUCUUUUUGCUAGUGAAAAGAGAGGGUAUUUCAUUGGUAACUCAAGCAAGUUCUUUUGAAAGUAUUACUUCUUCAAUCAACAUAUUGCGAGUUCUGACUCAUUUGCGAGAUCCUAGAAUAUAUAAAUAAAAGACACCAACUUCAUUUAAAGUAUUUGCAUACAUAUGCUCCCAAUCCCCAUUGCCCAUAGAGCAAUGGACCAAUUUAAUACAACAUGAAUUCUUCAGAAGAUAAAAGUGAAAGUCAUGCUUUUGCUCUUAAAUUUAAGGUUGAACGAAAAAUGUGACCCGCAAACAGCCCCAUACCUCCAUUUUACCCAACUUUCCACUUAUUACAUUUUGCUACUAGAUACUUCAGGUAUGUUACCCGCAAUCAGCCCCAAUUCAUAAUAUGGAUAAGUUGGGUGGGCGUUUAGGAGACAAUAGUUUCCUUUCAAAACCCACCAAAUGCAGAAAUGGUACUGCAAAAAUUCCAGAAAGAACGUACCAAAUAACAUGUAUGAGACUUCCACUAGAUGACCCGAGUGUUUUCUUGCAUAGGGUGCCUGAAAGUAACUCCCCUUUUUCUAUCCGUACUUGAGUAUCCCCAGGAGUAAUAAAUCCUUUUUCAGUUUCUUGAUGCCAUGAAGAAUACCUUAAUAGAUUUAUCUGUCUUGGAAUGAUUAAAUUAAAUACUUGUUUCCCAGUCCAAAGAGGCUUAGGUUUCAGAAUUGUUGGAGCAGGUACUUUGCCAUCAAAAUCCUCCCACCACAUAAGGAUGUUCAUAAAAACAUCCUGCGAACAAUACAGACAGCGAUAUCAGAUUGAAUGUGGACACUUACCUAAAAAUUACAUAAUGAUGACAGAAAAUCAAAUGUUACCUUGUCAAUAAAAGUAUCUCUCUUAGUGAUUUUGCGACAUCCUAGUAGUGUAUCCUGCACAAUACCCAUUACAGGUCGAUUUGAUUGAGGUGACACGAUGCAUUUUGGAACCAUCAUUAAUUCCAGAACUUCGGCUCUAGUUUCAAAUGACUGGGGCACGUGCAUAUUCAUUUCAUCUCCAUCAAAAUCAGCAUUGUAGGGUGAGGUAACAGACAGAUUUAAGCGGAAUGUUGAAUAUGGCAUAAUCUUGAUUCUGUGGCCCAUAAUGGACAUCUUAUGGAGACUCGGUUGCCGAUUGAACAGGACAAAGUCUCCAUCAUUUAAAUGUCUCUCAACCUGUACCAUCAAAUAAUAGGAAUCAGGUGUCAAAAGGAAUCCAAUGCUUGAUCAUUCUCAAUUAUAUAGCUGGGAGUCUCACCUUAUAUCCAAGUUCUAGAUGCUGAUCACUACUCUUUUUCAAGUACCGGAGAUCAAGCCUCUGUCCAUCAUCCCUAAUAAUAUAUUUUGCGCCAGUUUUACCAGGAGGGGGAUGAGGUCCAUAUUCCACAAGCUCUUUCAAUCUAUUUUCAAGGUCAAUAUCUGGUUAACAAGAAUAACCAAAAAGUAUAGAGGGAUCACUAUCAAGAAAUAUGGUAAGAGUGCCUAACCUUUCGAUGUUAUAUGGAGUUACAGUUUCAGGAUAUGUAAGAUUUAAGGCAAUACUCCAAGGCACACCCAGCUGGUCGAUGUUGAUUGUUGGGUCAGGUGUAAUCACAGUCCGAGCCGAAAAAUCUACUCGCUUACCCAUCAAGUUACCUCUGAUCCUACCAUCUUUUGCCUUAAGCCUGCUACAUAUUGAUUUAAUGGGUCUGCCAGAUCUUUGGGUAGCCUGAUGUAUACAAGGAUACUUCACUUGUUAGAUAAAUGAUGUUCCAGGAACUGCAUCCACAGUCUCAAUAUACUGAAAUAAUAUAACAUACUCUUGGUUGACCAGGUAAAUCGUUAUCAAAGUAUGUAGCCACAUGGAACUGCAGCAACUGUGCAAACUCAGAGAUGAUGUGUGCAGGAGCCCCAUUCCGCUCCUGCCUCUUUAAGUUCUCAUUAUGCCUAAUGAUCAUGGCCAGUUGAUGAGUUAAAUCAUCCUGCAUAAAUUGAUUCAAUUAUUAGAUUCUCCUGCAACUUAAAAGCAGCAAUCCGAGGAACAUGCAAUUGAUUGACUUGAUCAGUUUGCAGUGAACAGAACCCGAUACACUUAUCUGACCUAAAGGAACAAUUAGGGGUAAUCUAAACACCCAUGACAUUGUAGAGAUCAAAAGGAGAAGUCAUGCCUCACUCCGAGAAGAAGUAUCCAUCAUUACAGAAGGCCUAACUGGAGGAGGAGGGAUUGGAAGAACUUGAAGAAUCAUCCAGUCAGGGCGAGCAUAUUUUGGAUUCAAGCCCAACAACUGACAAUCUUCAUCAGUAAUUCUCUUCAGUAUGCUGAGCACCUGAAACAAAAAGGAAAUAGAGAUUGUUGGGAUUAGCGCAUAAAUCAAUCUAUCACAUUAUCCAGGCUGGAAAAAAAAGUUUGAAUCCCUAUUCUCUGGCAAUUUAUGAUAUAUGAUACCUUCUCUGCAGAGAGAAGUUGUUUUCGUUCAACAGGUUCAGGCAUCUGGUCCUGGUCAUCACUUUUCUUCUUCUGAAUCUUGUAUUCAGCAACCAUUUUCAUCCCAUCUAUAGAAAUCUUUGGCUGCUGAGCACCGCAUCCACCCCUAGACUUCUUCACAGGUUCUUCCGAAUCUUGACCUCGCACAUCGAUCUCAUCACCUCCUUCACAUUUGGAUUUGUUUUUGCAGGCAUCUAAUAUCUUCUUUAAUCUAUUCUUAGGGUUUCUAAUUCUCAUUGCUUGCUUGAACUUGGGAUCGUCCUAGAAAAAUUAACAAGGGAUCAAAAUACAUUGCAAAAGAAAACGAUUGUUCCAACUUCCAAGUAACUUUAUUUCCAUUUGAAGUAUAAUAUUCAGGCAAUAAUGAAAAUAACUAACUUUUACAACAGCAACACUCCUAGGAGAUGCAUCCAGAUGAUGAAAUACCUCAAACUGCUUCUAUCUUACCAAUAUGCAUUUCUAUAAAAGUAACACAAUUAUUGAAGACAUAACAGAACCUAGAAGCCUAAAACUGGAUCGUUGCUAGUCAUAAGUCUUACUAUCCAGUCACUCUUGCAAGUAAUAAGAAUGUUACAAUUAAAUCAGUUGCCCAGUUCAGGAUGGUCAUGAAUAAGACAGAAGUCUGACCCUCCUAGUAUACGAACAUAUACAUGAAAUAAGCAUUUUCCGUGAAUCCAGCAUAUGUUAUACACUUCUGAAAAAUUCAGUCUGCUACUCAGGCCUCACAACAGCGGAAUCAAUAGUCAUACCCAAUAUGAACCAAGUGAGCAUGACUGUACAAAUUCAUACUACUUAAACCGAAAACGUCCAUAACUUCAAUCUAACUACUCGGGAAAUGUACAAUACCUCAUCCGCUAAAAUCUUAGAGCAAUUGAAGCAGACACUGCGGAGAAUACUGAGCACAGUCUUCAUGAAGCCAAUGUGAAACAUAGGUUUGGCGAGCUCAAGGUGACCGAAGUGACCGGGGCAGUCAGCCAUGUUCGCCAUACAAGUCUCGCACUUCAUCUUCCGAUCAAUCGUCCCCAGACGCGGGUCGCUCAAACCACCGAUCUUCGGCUUGCCUCUUUCCGUCGUCUCGCUGUGCUCUAUAUGCACAACAGACAUUUGUCUCUACAAAACACACCAUAAAACAAUAGACCAUCAUUUCCAACUCAAUCACACACUCAAUGCCGAAACUGAAAGUUCAAAACAUUCAAAGAAGUGAGAAUUACGAUCUCAUCGGGGCUGAGAAUGCCGAAUUGGACGACGCGGACUUUCGCGACCUCUGCCGGCGAGAAGGGGAACCGCAGAUCCAUUGCGACACCGGAGAUUCUACCCUAGGGUUUUCGAUUAUGAUUUAUUAUGCUAGCUGAUAUAUAAUAAUUCCAAAAUUAGAAACAAAUAUGGUUUUCAAGUACUUCAAAUUAUUCGCGGUUUCUGUUAAGUAACUGAUUUUUGGGGUUUUUGAAGAAAACUUUUUUCACGCUGCGCUCUUCUCUGAAGGAGGAGAGGCGGCUUUGAGACCAAAGAAGAGAAUGAGGGGUUGAAGGGGUAUUUAAAGAGAUGGAUGGCUUCGAAGUCGGCGCUUAAUGGGGUUGUUUGGCUACACAGUUAUGAGCUGGACAUCUUCCUCUCGUUUGGUCCAUCUAUUAAAAAAUCUUCUUAAUCUAUUUUUAAACAUAAUUUCAUCAACUAUUAUCCUUAUAAUUUUCAUUUUUUGUAAGACUCAUUUUUCACUUAUCAAGUAUACAAUUAAUUUUUAUUAAAAUUCAUGUCACCCUCCUUUAUAAAGAUCUUUGAGAAAUGAAGGGAGUGUUAAUUCCAAAUAUUUGGUAAAAUAAGUACAUAAAUACUCAUUUCGUCCCAACUUUUAGUAUCAAUUUAAGAAUGACACGUGUUUUAAUAAAGUUGUUAAGUGUGUUGUGAGUGGAAUAAGGGUCUCGCAUUUUACGUGAAUGUUAAAAUAAUUAAAGUGGAGUAAGGGUCUCACCUACUUUUACUAAAAAUAAAAAUGAAUAUCAAAAUAUGGAACGGCCAAAAAAGGAAAUAUGAAUACUAAAAGUUGGGACGAAGAUAGUAGUUUACAAGCUCUACAAAUAAGUUUCUACAAUUUAUAAGCUUUUCAAACUACAAACUUUUUACCAUAAAUUACUUUUUCAUAAUUUUAUACUUCCUUCAUCCCAAUUCNCUUAUAAUUUUUCAUUUUUUUGUAAGACUCAUUUUUUCACUUAUCAAGUAUACAAUUAAUUUUUAUUAAAAUUCAUGUCACCCUCCUUUAUAAAGAUCUUUGAGAAAUGAAGGGAGUGUUAAUUCCAAAUAUUUGGUAAAAUAAGUACAUAAAUACUCAUUUCGUCCCAACUUUUAGUAUCAAUUUAAGAAUGACACGUGUUUUAAUAAAGUUGUUAAGUGUGUUGUGAGUGGAAUAAGGGUCUCGCAUUUUACGUGAAUGUUAAAAUAAUUAAAGUGGAGUAAGGGUCUCACCUACUUUUACUAAAAAUAAAAAUGAAUAUCAAAAUAUGGAACGGCCAAAAAAGGAAAUAUGAAUACUAAAAGUUGGGACGAAGAUAGUAGUUUACAAGCUCUACAAAUAAGUUUCUACAAUUUAUAAGCUUUUCAAACUACAAACUUUUUACCAUAAAUUACUUUUUCAUAAUUUUAUACUUCCUUCAUCCCAAUUCAAUAGGCCACAAGACAAGGCUUGGACAUGGAUAUUAAGAAGCGAAUAGUUUAUAAUAAAAUACGAGAGAGAAAGUAGCUUUUUUUAGAGUAAAUUUGUGAAAAAAGUAGGAGAGAGUAGAGAUAAUUUUGUGGGAUCACAAUGAUAUUUGAUGUACAUAAUGAGUUGUGCGAAGGUGUUUGUUAUAUACUAUGAUUUUUUAUUUUAGGAAGUGACCUAUUGAAUUGGAACGUCCAAAUAAGGAUUCAUGACAUAUUUAAAUGGAACUGAGGGAGUAAUAUAUUUUACAAAAAUUAUUCAAUUAUACUUUAUUACUAUUUUCAUCAUAUACACUUUAAACCACUUUGCAAAAAUUAACUCAAUCAUAUAAAUACUUUCACAACUUAUAAGCUCUUACAAAAAUACAUUUUUAAAAUUUUUGAAACAUUUUAUAAAUUGCUACAAUUAUAAAUUUCUUAAAAUAAGCUUAUCCAAACAUCCCCUUAAUUCUACAACAAAAUUUUAACAAAUGGAGUAUAAAUGAGCUAUGAUUGGUAACAUAUUUUUCCUACAAAAAUAAUAAGCGAUAGGUAACAUAACUAGCGUGGGAACUAAGAAUCAAUCUGGUCUAUUAAUUUGAUUAAAUGAUCAUGAUUGAUUUCCAUAUUGAACAAUACAUAUAUAUGAUAAUGCAUCAGUUUAUGCCAGAAAUUAUGCCAUGCUGAUAAAUAAUACUCCAUUCGUCCCAAACGAAAUGUCCUAUUUCUUUUCGGUACGGAAAUUAAGAAAUGUGUAUAAAAUAGAUUAAGUGGGUUGGUGAAAAUUAUUUAAAUAUUAAGUAUAGAGAGAGAGUGUAGUGCCAAAAAAGGAAACAUGACAUUUCGUUUGAGAUAGCCCAAAAAGGAAAACAGUACAUUUCGUUUGGAACGGAGGGAGUAUAGUGCAUACUUAUAAUAAACAACGUAGUUUUAAGUGUGGUGCCCACUUCGGGGGAGCUUGUUGGAUUUAUAAUAAACGACGUAGUUUUCAUAUAUACAAAAAAUCCUCUUCCAUUGAGAUGGUUUCUUACAUUCUUGGCUUCAGCUGCGCAUGGCUUAUCUAUGCAUGCAUUAUUUUAGUUAUAAGCAAUUUAGUAAAUAAAAUAACAAAAUGGAUGGAUUAACAUUGCCACAAAACAUGAUGACACUAUUAGUAUUUUACUUCAAAGGGGAAGAAAAAAAAACUUUAUACGAAUGAAAGAAUGCCAUGUUAAACAAUCUCUCUUAGCCAAAUUGGAAAGCUAUGAGACCAAACAAAUGGACUACAAAUUAAAAAAGAGGUUAUAAAGUGACACGGGACUUAUACGCCACGUGCGGAGUUCAGCUGCCCGACUGCCGGAGUUCAGCUGCCCGACUGCCGGCCUGGUAUGAAAAUGAUUGGGUUAGGGUAGGGUGUCCCAUGCAACAAAUCCUCAUUCCACCUUCCCUUUGUCAGUUUCAUUUACCACACUAAGCCAUGUAAACAAUACCAACACAAUCACAAAAUCAGCAAAUCUAUUCGAACUCGCUUGGCCUAUGGUGAAAGCAGGAUGGAAAAGAAAGCAAAAUAAGCAAAGGUAAAUAUACCUGCUUGGACUGGAAGGAGAAAAAGAUGGUGAUGUUGGGCUGCAAAACCACAGAAAAUAAUAUGUCAAGGUAGCAUUUGAAAGAGAGUUUCACCAGUUCAGAAUAUAUCCUAGUCUUGUCGGGGAAAUAAAACAAAAAGAGUAAUACUCUAGGGAACAAUUUAUCCAGCUUCCUCUGUGGACAAUCAAGUAUAGAAACAGAGUAAUACAUUUAACCAAGGUUAUAUUUGUUAGCAAACUUGAAGAGCAAAAAUUAAAAUAAGGCUUGCCAAAAGUUACCUGAGACUCGGAGAAUAUGGACUGUACGGACUUGAAGGUGUGAUUUUUGGACUUGUAGGUGAAUAUGCUUGUGAAGGGCUAUACCUUGCUGAAGGAUUGUAACUUGGUGAGGUCAGACUGUAAGUCGGUGAGGUGGGACUGUAUCCAGGUGAAGUUGGGCUGUAGGCAGGAGAGGUAGGGCUGUAUGAAGGUGAGGUUGGGCUGUACGAUGGAGAGGUUGGGCUGUAAGAUGGUGAGGUUGGGCUGUAAGAGGGAGACGUGGGGCUGUAAGCCGGAGAAGUUGGGUUAUAAGCAGGUGAGGUUGGGCUGUAAGAGGGAGACGUGGGGCUGUAAGCCGGAGAAGUUGGGCUAUACGCAGGUGAGGUUGGGCUGUAUGCUGGAGAAGUUGGGCUGUAGCUCGGAGAUGUAGGGCUGUAGCUCGGAGAUGUGGGGCUAUAGCUAGGAGAUGUUGGGCUGUAGGAAGGAGACGUUGGUGAAUAAGAUGGGCUUGUGGGAG